AUUGAACGCUGGCGGCAGGCUUAACACAUGCAAGUCGAGCGGGGGAAGGUAGCUUGCUACCGGACCUAGCGGCGGACGGGUGAGUAAUGCUUAGGAAUCUGCCUAUUAGUGGGGGACAACAUAGCGAAAGGGAUGCUAAUACCGCAUACGUUCUACGAGAGAAAGCAGGGGAUCUUCGGACCUUGCGCUAAUAGAGCGGCCUAAGUCGGAAUAGCUAGGUGGUGGGGUAAAGGCCUACCAAGGCGACGAUCUGUAGCGGGUCUGAGAGGAUGGUCCACCACAAUGGGACUGAGACACGGCCCAGACUCCUACGGGAGGCAGCAGUGGGGAAUAUUGGACAAUGGGGGGAACCCUUAUCCAGCCAUGCCGCGUGUGUGAAGAAGGCCUUAUGGUUGUAAAGCACUUUAAGCGAGGAGGAGGCUACUCUAGUUAAUACCUAGGGAUAGUGGACGUUACUCGCAGAAUAAGCACCGGCUAACUCUGUGCCAGCCGCCGCCGUAA
This 501-nucleotide ribosomal RNA is filed under the name uncultured bacterium. RNAcentral describes it as "partial 16S ribosomal RNA". It matches the Rfam family "Bacterial small subunit ribosomal RNA", at positions 30 to 523 of the family's 1533-position model. The record is from RNAcentral.